UGAGGAACAUGACCUUCGGCGGGGGAUAGCCGGCCCAACGGCCGGGUAAUACCGCGUACGACCACAUGGGGACAUCCCUGAGUGGUGAAAGCAGCAAUGCGCCGAUGGAGUGCCUCGCGGCCUAUCAGCUAGUUGGUGAGGUAACGGCUCAUCAAGGCGACGACGGGUANCUGGUCUGAGAGGAUGGCCAGCCACAUUGGGACUGAGACACGGCCCAGAUCCCGUAACGGGG
This 232-nucleotide ribosomal RNA is filed under the name uncultured bacterium. Its description in RNAcentral is "partial 16S ribosomal RNA". It matches the Rfam family "Bacterial small subunit ribosomal RNA", at positions 118 to 346 of the family's 1533-position model. The record is from RNAcentral.